GAUGAACGCUAGCGGCAGGCCUAACACAUGCAAGUCGAGGGAGAAGCCCUUUCGGGGGCAGAAACCGGCGCACGGGUGCGUAACGCGUAUGCAACCUACCUUUCACAGGGGGAUAGCCCGAAGAAAUUUGGAUUAAUACCCCAUAAUAUUAUUGGAUGGCAUCAUUUGGUAAUUAAAACUGCGGUGGUGAAAGAUGGGCAUGCGUCCUAUUAGCUAGUUGGAGUGGUAACGGCACCCCAAGGCUACGAUAGGUAGGGGUCCUGAGAGGGAGAUCCCCCACACUGGUACUGAGACAGGGACCAGACCCCUACGGGAGGCAGCAGUGAGGAAUAUUGGUCAAUGGUCGGAAGACUGAACCAGCCAUGCCGCGUGCAGGAAGAAUGCCUUAUGGGUUGUAAACUGCUUUUAUAUGGGAAGAAUAAGGUGUACGUGUACAUUGAUGACGGUACCAUAUGAAUAAGCAUCGGCUAACUCCGUG
Molecule: ribosomal RNA, 478 nt
Filed under: uncultured bacterium
Lineage: Bacteria
Description: partial 16S ribosomal RNA
Rfam family: Bacterial small subunit ribosomal RNA
Source: RNAcentral